AGAGGGGAAAAGGGAAGCCUGUCCUUUAUACAGUUUUCGUGCGCACAGUUACGCAAAAGUUUGAAGAAGCUAACGGAACAUGGUACUUUUUGUUCUUCAUUCAUGAUAGUGAGUCAGUCGGUAAGUGGCCUACUGCUAAGCAUAUCCCUGUCAUUAGCACUUUGAAUCAGAUAGCUGUCACACUCUCUUCCUGCAGAGAUUGCCUUGGUUAAGUUAAUAUAGUCUGCAAGUGGUGGAAGUUGGAUUUAAAAUGCAAAUAUGUACAGUGAUUUAAAAUUUAUAGUUGAUUUUGACUUUGGGCCAGCUACUUGGGCUGACUUGCAGCAAAUCUCCACGAAUGAAGAUAUUCCCGGUGAAGUUCAGUAGUGUCUUGCUUUUAAUCAUUGAGAAUGUGGUGAAAAAAACUACAGGACUUCUAAACCUAACUAUAAAAUGUCAGAUUGAGUGUAGUACAGUCAGUUGAUAUGCUUGUGGCAUGAUUGGUAUUGUAAUUUGUGGAUUUACUAGUUACAGUUGCCUUGUAUGCACCUGUUGAAAAAAUGCACUCGAUGUCUGUCAAUACCUGUGUAAUAAAGAGUGCGUUCCAUUCAAUUUAAGAUCUUUGAAUUAUUUUGGUUCCUAAAUUCAUUUUUAUGUUUUGAAGGUGCAAUCAUCGAAAGCCUUAAGACAAUUUUCCUUGUUUGUUUGGAUUCAGGUUUGCAAGUGCUUCAAACAUCCUUAAUCUGUGAUUUUUGAGAGUGUCUGCCACUUUGGAUUCCACCCAAAUCUUCCUUCUUUGCCUCUUAUUGGUGUAUUUCUUCCCUCCAAUCCCGAACUCCUCUGUCUGCACUCCCCCCUCCCCUCUGCAGGUAUUGAAUCACUCCAGGGUUUGCUUGUCAUGGUGCCUGUAGCCCUAUGGUAUUAUCAUGUCAAUCGUUAUCUUCUACUUGAUCUUCCUGGUUCCACAGGCAGCUCAUUAUGGCCAAGCCCAUUCUUGAAGUCUUUCUUGCUAGGCUGUGAAUACUACAUUAGGAGUUGUUAGUGACAAAUCAUUACAACACAUCCUAAUCCAUUAUAUUCUUACAUGGCAAUGUUUCUUUGUCACUGUCAAUGGAAGCUGAGAGGCUUGACUCUAACCAAAAGCUAAAUAAAGACAGAUUAUUUGAUUUAAACCAGCUUAGCAAAACACAACUCAGCCAGUUUUACCUAAGUGUAAAUCAUGUAUGUGAUUUAAAAAAAAAAUUAAUUGGAACAUCUUAUUGAUUUUAUUUUAAUUGAAUGGUAAUUUCAACUUCUGUCACAAAACAACAAAGUCCUCACUUUAACUGUCGGAUAAUUGAUCUAUCUCUAUGAUGUGUCCUUCACAGAAAGUGCUCUAUCACAAGUUUCGUGGAUGAUGGACAAACCUGCAUUCACCAGGGAAUUAUUAGGUGCCUUCUCCAUAACCGUUCCCAACACUCCUGUGUUACAAGCUUAUUGAGACUGCAGGAAAUGAUGAUCGUUCUGGAUGUGACUUGCUCUAACCAAAGCUCACCUGUCUUAAUUAAGAUGGCCAAAGGCUGAGCUGGUGCACUGGUGACAACAUUGGCUUCCAUCGUUGAUGUGUACCCCUGCUGAGAGGAGGCUUCUGUGGUCUGGGUUUCCUCAAUUUCAAGUACAUUGUGUGAGCUGGGGGAGAGAAGAGGAUAAUACAGUCGCUCCUGUUACUCAAGGCAUAUUGCUUGUUCCAUAACUUAUCCCAUUGUUGGAGCAUUGUCCAGUAAUAGACCAUGUGGAAGCAUCGUCUGAUUAAGUACUCUGUGCUUACCAAGCUUUCAAAGUGCUGCAGUUAGCCAGUGAAAACGCUGCUCUUUCAAACACUGAUCAAAUGAAGACCAGAAUACCAUCGACAGAACAGCAUCCAGGGCUACAGACUGGCCAACCACCUGUUUCUCAAUGCAGGUGAGAAAGUGGGAGGAUUAGGUCUGCAUUUCUUGAGGAUAUUCAGCCUUGAAUUAGUCUUUGACGGGGCAUGCUUUGGGAUCACACAAUAGCUAUUCUGUGGGAUACAGAAUUGUUUGAGAAGGCUUCUCUUAGAAGGGGCCUGCAACGGCCUUCAAUAAAUGGACUUCUCAACAUAGAAUCAUAAAAUGGUCAAAGCACAGUCAACGUUUCGGGGUGGCACGGUGGCUCAGUGUAUAGCACUGAUGCCUCACAGCGCACCAGGGACUGGGACUGGAUU
Molecule: long non-coding RNA, 2200 nt
Organism: Rhincodon typus (whale shark)
Lineage: Eukaryota; Metazoa; Chordata; Chondrichthyes; Orectolobiformes; Rhincodontidae
Exons: 3
Source: RefSeq, a predicted model, not a curated record